ACGCUCGACACCUACGGGAGACAGCAGUGGGGAAUAUUGCACAAUGGGGGAAACCCUGAUGCAGCGACGCCGCGUGGAGGAAGAAGGUCUUCGGAUUGUAAACUCCUGUUGUUGGGGAAAAAGAGGAUGGUACCCAACAAGGAAGUGACGGCUAACUACGUGCGUAGNNGCGNGUAUNGNGGCGGNGUGACGAGC
This 195-nucleotide ribosomal RNA is filed under the name uncultured bacterium. Its description in RNAcentral is "partial 16S ribosomal RNA". It matches the Rfam family "Bacterial small subunit ribosomal RNA", at positions 328 to 539 of the family's 1533-position model. The record is from RNAcentral.